GGCUCAGGAUGAACGCUAGCUACAGGCUUAACACAUGCAAGUCGAGGGGCAGCAUUUUAGUUUGCUUGCAAACUGAAGAUGGCGACCGGCGCACGGGUGAGUAACACGUAUCCAACCUGCCGAUAACUCCGGAAUAGCCUUUCGAAAGAAAGAUUAAUACCGGAUAGCAUACGAAUAUCGCAUGAUAUUUUUAUUAAAGAAUUUCGGUUAUCGAUGGGGAUGCGUUCCAUUAGUUUGUUGGCGGGGUAACGGCCCACCAAGACUACGAUGGAUAGGGGUUCUGAGAGGAAGGUCCCCCACAUUGGAACUGAGACACGGUCCAAACUCCUACGGGAGGCAGCAGUGAGGAAUAUUGGUCAAUGGGCGAGAGCCUGAACCAGCCAAGUAGCGUGAAGGAUGAAGGCUCUAUGGGUCGUAAACUUCUUUUAUAUGGGAAUAAAGUUUUCCACGUGUGGAAUUUUGUAUGUACCAUAUGAAUAAGGAUCGGCUAACUCCGUGCCAGCAGCCGCGGUAAUACGGAGGAUCCGAGCGUUAUCCGGAUUUAUUGGGUUUAAAGGGAGCGUAGGUGGAUUGUUAAGUCAGUUGUGAAAGUUUGCGGCUCAACCGUAAAAUUGCAGUUGAAACUGGCAGUCUUGAGUACAGUAGAGGUGGGCGGAAUUCGUGGUGUAGCGGUGAAAUGCUUAGAUAUCACGAAGAACUCCGAUUGCGAAGGCAGCUCACUAGACUGUCACUGACACUGAUGCUCGAAAGUGUGGGUAUCAAACAGGAUUAGAUACCCUGGUAGUCCACACAGUAAACGAUGAAUACUCGCUGUUUGCGAUAUACAGUAAGCGGCCAAGCGAAAGCAUUAAGUAUUCCACCUGGGGAGUACGCCGGCAACGGUGAAACUCAAAGGAAUUGACGGGGGCCCGCACAAGCGGAGGAACAUGUGGUUUAAUUCGAUGAUACGCGAGGAACCUUACCCGGGCUUAAAUUGCAACAGAAUAUAUUGGAAACAGUAUAGCCGUAAGGCUGUUGUGAAGGUGCUGCAUGGUUGUCGUCAGCUCGUGCCGUGAGGUGUCGGCUUAAGUGCCAUAACGAGCGCAACCCUUAUCUUUAGUUACUAACAGGUUAUGCUGAGGACUCUAGAGAGACUGCCGUCGUAAGAUGUGAGGAAGGUGGGGAUGACGUCAAAUCAGCACGGCCCUUACGUCCGGGGCUACACACGUGUUACAAUGGGGGGUACAGAAGGCGGCUACCUGGUGACAGGAUGCUAAUCCCAAAAACCUCUCUCAGUUCGGAUCGAAGUCUGCAACCCGACUUCGUGAAGCUGGAUUCGCUAGUAAUCGCGCAUCAGCCAUGGCGCGGUGAAUACGUUCCCGGGCCUUGUACACACCGCCCGUCAAGCCAUGAAAGCCGGGGGUACCUGAAGUACGUAACCGCAAGGAGCGUCCUAGGGUAAAACUGG
Molecule: ribosomal RNA, 1447 nt
Filed under: uncultured organism
Description: SSU rRNA
Rfam family: Bacterial small subunit ribosomal RNA
Source: RNAcentral